RNAcentral lists this ribosomal RNA (586 nucleotides) under uncultured bacterium. RNAcentral describes it as "bacterial SSU rRNA". It matches the Rfam family "Bacterial small subunit ribosomal RNA", at positions 338 to 916 of the family's 1533-position model. The record is from RNAcentral.
CCUACGGGAGGCAGCAGUAGGGAAUCUUCCACAAGGGACGAAAGUCUGAUGGAGCAACACCGCGUGAGUGAAGAAGGUUCUCGGAUCGUAAAACUCUGUUGUGAGGGAAGAACAAGUACCGGAGUAACUGCCGGUACCUUGACGGUACCUCAUUAGAAAGCCACGGCUAACUACGUGCCAGCAGCCGCGGUAAUACGUAGGUGGCAAGCGUUGUCCGGAAUCAUUGGGCGUAAAGCGCGCGCAGGCGGUCCCUUAAGUCUGAUGUGAAAGCCCACGGCUCAACCGUGGAGGGUCAUUGGAAACUGGGGGACUUGAGUGCAGAAGAGGAAAGCGGAAUUCCAAGUGUAGCGGUGAAAUGCGUAGAGAUUUGGAGGAACACCAGUGGCGAAGGCGGCUUUCUGGUCUGUAACUGACGCUGAGGCGCGAAAGCGUGGGGAGCAAACAGGAUUAGAUACCCUGGUAGUCCACGCCGUAAACGAUGAGUGCUAAGUGUUAGGGGGUUUCCGCCCCUUAGUGCUGCAGCUAACGCAUUAAGCACUCCGCCUGGGGAGUACGGUCGCAAGACUGAAACUCAAAGGAAUGACGG